Long non-coding RNA from Nymphaea colorata (pocket water lily), 798 nucleotides. RefSeq lists it as uncharacterized. The transcript has 4 exons. Lineage: Eukaryota; Viridiplantae; Streptophyta; Magnoliopsida; Nymphaeales; Nymphaeaceae. The record is from RefSeq and is a predicted model, not a curated record.
GCUCCACACACGAACAUUCUCAUCCUGUGAAAAAUUAUAUGUAAGAUGGGGGCGAUGGCAUAACACUGUAGUUCAACACGCUCACAGAUAAACAUACUCCCUCUGUUCCUCUCCCUUCCUUGGUGCUGCCGGUUUUCUUGUUGGCUUUUUAUGGUUCAUUUCUUUGGGAUGUCUUUAAUCAUUCUUCACUCCUGUAGAUGGAAAUAUGGCGGGAAAAGGAGCUUCUGGAGUGGUUGUAUAUCUAGUGGUCUACAACCUCAGACACCGGCAAGCUGGGUACAUAAAAAUCUCUGUAUCAGUCCAGGAAGGGCGACCCCAAGCAUAUACCAGCAGUUGAUGACAGCCGUAAAUGUGACCUAUGCACUGUAUCAUUACACUCCUUUUGUUUUCAAACCUACAGAACUGUAAUUUCGUAAGCGACACUUUUCAGAAUCAUUAUAUCAUCACACUGUCCUCCCCUCAAGCAUCUGCUGUGACUAGUAAUUGUUGGGUUGGUGCUAAUUGCGGUUGGAUUGCUGCUUUCUUUAGUUCUGUGGUUACUAUAAUCGACCCUUCCCCAGAGCCAGAGGAGAAAGUUCUCGUUACUAUGUCAGUGGUGAAAUCAUCAACAGACAGACAGUCAUAUAGUCGGCAAACCGGAGCCUGAAAAAUGAGCAUGCUAAAGUUUAAGGUACAGUUAUUUUUGUGUUAGUUUUGGCUGGAUUUUUUCCAGGCGGGAAAGUCCUAUCUGAGAACCCUGCUUGUUUCCUCUUAACUGUUUUGCUCUUCUAUACAUAAGGUUUGGGGCAUUUUUCUUCA